GGAUGGGGCUCAGGGGUAAAGCACACGCCUUGCAUGUGUGAGGCCCUGGGUUCGAUCCUCAGCACCA
This 67-nucleotide transfer RNA is filed under the name Marmota monax (woodchuck). RNAcentral describes it as "tRNA.Ala". It matches the Rfam family "tRNA", at positions 6 to 65 of the family's 71-position model. Rfam says of the family: Transfer RNA (tRNA) molecules are approximately 80 nucleotides in length. Their secondary structure includes four short double-helical elements and three loops (D, anti-codon, and T loops). Lineage: Eukaryota; Metazoa; Chordata; Mammalia; Rodentia; Sciuridae. The record is from RNAcentral.